Molecule: ribosomal RNA, 193 nt
Filed under: uncultured Nitrososphaerota archaeon
Lineage: Archaea; Thermoproteati; Nitrososphaerota
Description: uncultured thaumarchaeote partial 16S ribosomal RNA
Rfam family: Archaeal small subunit ribosomal RNA
Source: RNAcentral
GAUUAGAUACCCGGGUAGUCCCAGCUGUAAACGAUGCAAACUCGGUGAUGCAUUGGCUUGUGGCCAAUGCAGUGCCGCAGGGAAGCCGUUAAGUUUGCCGCCUGGGAAGUACGUACGCAAGUAUGAAACUUAAAGGAAUUGGCGGGGGAGCACCACAAGGGGUGAAGCCUGCGGUUCAAUUGGAGUCAACGCC